GAUGAACGCUGGCGGCGUGCCUAAUACAUGCAAGUAGAACGCUGAAGCUUGGUGCUUGCACCGAGCGGAUGAGUUGCGAACGGGUGGGUAACGCGUAGGUAACCUGCCUCUUAGCGGGGGAUAACUAUUGGAAACGAUAGCUAAUACCGCAUAAAAGACGAUAUCGCAUGAUAUUGAUUUGAAAGGUGCAAAUGCAUCACUAAGAGAUGGACCUGCGUUGUAUUAGCUAGUUGGUGAGGUAACGGCUCACCAAGGCAACGAUACAUAGCCGACCUGAGAGGGUGAUCGGCCACACUGGGACUGAGACACGGCCCAGACUCCUACGGGAGGCAGCAGUAGGGAAUCUUCGGCAAUGGGGGUAGCCCUGACCGAGCAACGCCGCGUGAGUGAAGAAGGUUUUCGGAUCGUAAAGCUCUGUUGUAAGAGAAGAACGAGUGUGAGAGUGGAAAGUUCACACUGUGACGGUAACUUACCAGAAAGGGACGGCUAACUACGUGCCAGCAGCCGCGGUAAUACGUAGGUCCCGAGCGUUAUCCGGAUUUAUUGGGCGUAAAGCGAGCGCAGGCGGUUAGAUAAGUCUGAAGUUAAAGGCUGUGGCUUAACCAUAGUACGCUUUGGAAACUGUUUAACUUGAGUGCAGAAGGGGAGAGUGGAAUUCCAUGUGUAGCGGUGAAAUGCGUAGAUAUAUGGAGGAACACCGGUGGCGAAAGCGGCUCUCUGGUCUGUAACUGACGCUGAGGCUCGAAAGCGUGGGGGAGCAAACAGG
This 766-nucleotide ribosomal RNA is filed under the name uncultured Streptococcus sp. RNAcentral describes it as "bacterial SSU rRNA". It matches the Rfam family "Bacterial small subunit ribosomal RNA", at positions 28 to 776 of the family's 1533-position model. The record is from RNAcentral. Lineage: Bacteria; Bacillati; Bacillota; Bacilli; Lactobacillales; Streptococcaceae.